AACAUCGCGCACCUGCGGGAACCUGCGGAGGGAUCAUUACAAGUGACCCCGGUCUAACCACCGGGAUGUUCAUAACCCUUUGUUGUCCGACUCUGUUGCCUCCGGGGCGACCCUGCCUUCGGGCGGGGGCUCCGGGUGGACACUUCAAACUCUUGCGUAACUUUGCAGUCUGAGUAAACUUAAUUAAUAAAUUAAAACUUUUAGCAAUGGAUCU
RNAcentral lists this unclassified non-coding RNA (214 nucleotides) under soil metagenome. Its description in RNAcentral is "partial contains 5.8S ribosomal RNA, internal transcribed spacer 2, and large subunit ribosomal RNA". The record is from RNAcentral.